Long non-coding RNA from Gasterosteus aculeatus aculeatus (three-spined stickleback), 346 nucleotides. The record is from Ensembl. Lineage: Eukaryota; Metazoa; Chordata; Actinopteri; Perciformes; Gasterosteidae.
GCUUGUAAUAAAAGUUUGAAAUAGCAGGACUGGAGGUUGAGCACCUGGUCCAUUUUGGCGAGGAGGGUUUCAAGCCGCGGUCAGCGUGCGAAUCAGCGCUGGCCUGAACUCAAUUCCAGGCCCUUAAAAAAAUGACUUUCAUGCAAUUCAGAGUUGGGGUGGUGAUCAAAACGUGCCUGGAGGGUCCUGACUGUCCUUCAGCUCCCCAACAGGACUGAACAAAGGACUCUCUUCCUUCCUAAAACAGUUGAUGCAUCUUGCUUUUGGCUUGGAAACAUGAAUGUCACUUGUAUGAAUGGUUUUCUUCUGUGAUGUCUAAAUGGUGUCAUUUGCUCCAGAUGCCCGC